AGACGGGGUCCAGUUCUGUUUCCCAGGCUGGAGUGCAGUGGCACAAUCACAGCUCACUGUCUCAUUGCAGCCUCGACCUCCCAGGCUCAAGUGUUCCUCUUUGGAAAUUCCUAGGCAGUAUGUGAAGUUGGUGGUGGGGGGGGGUGUCCCCCCAGCGUUAAGAAUGACGCUGAAUGAUCUGGCUCCAGACAUAAGCCUGUGAGUCAAGCAGAACAAGUUUUCUUGUAUCAGUUUGUAAAUUAACUUCUGGGUGAAAUUUUCAGCCUCCCAAGAAGCUGGGACUAUAGGCAUCAUGACACCACGCACAGCUAAUGUGUUUAUUUUUUGUGGAGAUGGGGUCUCAUUAUGUUACCAAGGCUGGCCUCAGACACCUGGGCUCAAGUGAUCCUCCCGCCUCAGCCUCCCAAAGUGCUGAGAUUAUAGGUAUAAGCCACCGAGCCUGGCCUGUGUUACAUUUUACAUGAUACUAAGUGAUCCUCUUGCCUCAGCUUCCCAAACUGCUAGGAUUACAGGCACAAGCUACCGAGGCUGGCCUGGGUUACAUUUCAUAUAAUAUCUAAGUAUUUGUAGCAGAGUCUGCUUUCUGGAAUAUUAGUGUGUGAUUGACAAAAUCACCUGUUCAGCCCCCAUGCUGGAGAGCAGGGAUAGGCUGCGUUCUGAAGCCUGGGCUAACACACACAUUGUUCUUAUUUCCAAGGCUUUGUAAUGAUAGGUUGUAACUAUGCAGUUUCUUAUUUUCUCCUUUCAGAAUUAAAUGAAAAAGCUUAUCAUUUAAUCUUUUUUUCUACAAAUCAAAAUUUUCUGAAGUCAAUGAAGCCCAAGGUUUGACUUUUUUAUCUCUAUUUCUUUUUUUAGAAAUUUUUCAAAUAUAUAACAAAACUUGAGAAACCCUUCAGUUCAGUUCUCUACCCUUGCCAUUCUCAUUUUUUAGGUCAUGGAUCACUUUUGUGCUAACUGGAUUAAGUUAGCAAGAACCAGUCAAGCAAUUUGACAGAGCUUUCCCAAGGUUGAUUAAGACAAAAAAAAUACACACUUUUCUUCUAUUUGAAGUUCGUGGCAUAUGUUUUGCUACACUUGAAUUUUGGAAAUAAUCUCUUAAGCAGUUACUGUUUUUAGAAAGUAUAUAGCAUAUCAUUCACCUGACAUUUAACAUAUUCAGGGUUAAUGAAGAACAGUGACGUGGAAAUAGUAUUGACUAAUACUAUGUUGUUUUAUUGUUAUUGUAUCUAUUUUACACAUAUGUAAAUUAAGUUUACUGACAGUAUAGAUAUUCUGACAAACAGUCUGGAUAAAUGCCUGGUUCUGCAGUGAGAACACAUGGACACAGGAAGGGGAACAUCACACACCGGAGACUGUUGU
This 1359-nucleotide long non-coding RNA is filed under the name Homo sapiens (human). RNAcentral's name for it is "HSALNT0337582". Lineage: Eukaryota; Metazoa; Chordata; Mammalia; Primates; Hominidae. The record is from RNAcentral.